UACAGAGGGUGCGAGCGUUAAUCGGAAUGACUGGGCGUAAAGCGCGCGUAGGCGGUUAUACAAGUUGGGUGUGAAAUCCCUGGGCUUAACCUAGGAAUUGCAUUCAAAACUAUAUGACUUGAGUGAAGUAGAGGCAAGUGGAAUUUCCGGAGUAGCGGUGAAAUGCGUAGAUACCGGAAGGAACACCAGUGGCGAAGGCGACUUGCUGGGCUUUAACUGACGCUGAGGCGCGAAAGCGUGGGGAGCAAAC
RNAcentral lists this ribosomal RNA (250 nucleotides) under uncultured bacterium. RNAcentral's name for it is "partial 16S ribosomal RNA". It matches the Rfam family "Bacterial small subunit ribosomal RNA", at positions 524 to 773 of the family's 1533-position model. The record is from RNAcentral.